RNAcentral lists this ribosomal RNA (915 nucleotides) under Triticum aestivum (bread wheat). Its description in RNAcentral is "partial small subunit ribosomal RNA". Lineage: Eukaryota; Viridiplantae; Streptophyta; Magnoliopsida; Poales; Poaceae. The record is from RNAcentral.
AUGUUGACCGUGAUUUGGAGGAUGGGGAUGUCACCCGUGGUCAGAUUACUAUGUUGGAGUACUACAAAUACUAUGCUCACUAUCGUGAAGAGGCUGAUCGGUUGGAGUACCAUUUCCAUAAACAAGAUAAACUUCAUUCUGAAUCUUAUCGGGGCAUAUCUGAUGCAAUGGGUGUACAAUAAUAAGUGUGCUUGCAUGAAGAAUGAUUGUUGUUCCAAGUGCUUUCCAAAGCCAUUUAGUGAUGAUACAAUGGUUGAUCGUGUUGGCUAUCCGGUUUACCGUCGUUCUGAUAACGGGCUUUAUGUGCUCAGACAGAAAGACUUACUUUAUUUGGGAAAUCAAUGGGUUGUUCCAUACAACAUGAAAUUGUUGAAGAGGUUUGACGCCCACAUAAAUGUGGAGUGGUGUAACAGGACAAAUUUAUUGAAAUACCUGUUUAAAUAUCUUACAAAGGGUCAUGAUGUGGUUCAUAUGCGUUUCUACGCUCAAGAUAAACCUAGCAGUGUUUUUAUUGUGCCUUCUCCUACUGGCGGAAACGAGAUUGACCAGUACAUCAAAUAUUAUAAUAUUUCCGUCAAUGAUCAUAAUUACUAUGCUCUUGAAGUUACAAAGGAAAAAACUUUUUGCAGAGCACAGACAAAGCAAUGGCAGUUCAAUAUGGCCCGUCAGCAAGUAGCUACACAGCAAAACAAGCUUACAAGACAAACAAUAAUCCUAGCAAAAAUAUGCAACAACUUGUUUGAUAUAUUGCCACUUUUAAGACAAACAAGUAGUACCCUCAGCACCCAAACAGCGAUGAUCCUGUCAUCACGUACACAGGCGCGCAUCCUCCUGUUGGACGUGUACAAGCAUUUGCAAAAUAUCUGUACCACUUUAUCACAAACACCAAUCCUGCAGGAGGAUAUACGAGGAUGA